AGCGGAGGAAAAGAAACCAACAGGGAUUGCCCCAGUAACGGCGAGUGAAGCGGCAAAAGCUCAAAUUUGAAAUCUGGCCUCCUACGGGGGUCCGAGUUGUAAUUUGUAGAGGAUGCUUCGGGUGUGGCCGCCGUCUAAGUUCCUUGGAACAGGACGUCAGAGAGGGUGAGAAUCCCGUCUUGGGCGGCCGGUCCGCGCCCGUGUGAAGCUCCUUCGAAGAGUCGAGUUGUUUGGGAAUGCAGCUCUAAGCGGGUGGUAAAUUUCAUCUAAAGCUAAAUACUGGUCGGAGACCGAUAGCGCACAAGUAGAGUGAUCGAAAGGUUAAAAGCACCUUGAAAAGGGAGUUAAACAGCACGUGAAAUUGUUGAAAGGGAAGCGCUUGCGGCCAGACUCGGGGGCGGGGUUCAGCGGGUGCUCGUCGCCCGUGCACUCCCCGUCUCCCGGGCCAGCAUCAGUUUCGACGGCCGGUCAAAGGCCUCCGGAAUGUGUCGUCUCUCGGGACGUCUUAUAGCCGGGGGUGCAAUGCGGCCCGUCGGGACUGAGGAACGCGCUUCGGCUCGGAUGCUGGCGUAAUGGCCGUAAGCGGCCCGUCUUGAAACACGGAC
This 605-nucleotide ribosomal RNA is filed under the name Nannizzia gypsea. RNAcentral describes it as "eukaryotic LSU rRNA". It matches the Rfam family "Eukaryotic large subunit ribosomal RNA", at positions 49 to 666 of the family's 3401-position model. The record is from RNAcentral. Lineage: Eukaryota; Fungi; Ascomycota; Eurotiomycetes; Onygenales; Arthrodermataceae.